This 490-nucleotide ribosomal RNA is filed under the name uncultured bacterium. RNAcentral's name for it is "partial 16S ribosomal RNA". It matches the Rfam family "Bacterial small subunit ribosomal RNA", at positions 30 to 507 of the family's 1533-position model. The record is from RNAcentral.
AUUGAACGCUGGCGGCAGGCCUAACACAUGCAAGUCGAACGGUAACAGGAAGAAGCUUGCUUCUUUGCCGACGAGUGGCGGACGGGUGAGCAAUGUCUGGGAAACUGCCUGAUGGAGGGGGAUAACUACUGGAAACGGUAGCUAAUACCGCAUAACGUUGCAAGACCAAAGAGGGGGACCUUCGGGCCUCUUGCCAUCGGAUGUGCCCAGAUGGGAUUAGCUAGUAGGUGGGGUAACGGCUCACCUAGGCGACGAUCCCUAGCUGGUCUGAGAGGAUGACCAGCCACACUGGAACUGAGACACGGUCCAGACUCCUACGGGAGGCAGCAGUGGGGAAUAUUGCACAAUGGGCGCAAGCCUGAUGCAGCCAUGCCGCGUGUAUGAAGAAGGCCUUCGGGUUGUAAAGUACUUUCAGCGGGGAGGAAGGGAGUAAAGUUAAUACCUUUGCUCAUUGACGUUACCCGCAGAAGAAGCACCGGCUAACUCCGUG